GAUCAUGAGGCAAAUCACAGUCAGCUGCUGUGGCCAGUCUGAAGCAGUCCUUUAUCCCGCACCUAGGAUUAGAACAAAAACACAAUCUUAUAUUUCUGUGUCUUACAAAACCCCAAAUUCGCAUCAUAUGCAACCUUAAAUGUGGUGACAAGAUCAUCCAUUGACAGUGUAUGGGUGCACAUGCUUGUGAUUAUUUCUCCAAGGGGUCCGCAGCACACACUGACCUUGAACUGACUGUGAGCUGCCUCAGCCACCCACGUGCUGGGAUCGCAGGUCCAUAUCACCGUCAGACCAAAUGGGACAUUUUUUUGUUGGCUACGCCUACCGCUAAUGGAGCGCCGAAAUGUUUAAACUAGUAGCGAACCGCGAUACCUGUAAAGUUACGUAACGGUAUAGCAAUUAUAUAACUUCUAAGAACACUCGCCAUGCUGUGGGGUAAGAUGUGGUUCCCCGUGGCUGAGUUCCUCGCCAUGCCGUGGGGCAAGAUGUGGUUCCCCGGGGCUGAGUUCCUCUCUGACAACUGUUUGUCUCCAGUUCAGGAGCCCAAGCGGAACCUCUCCUUCUUCCAGAUGAGGAAAGUGUGGGGCCAAGUCUGGCACAGCAUCCAAACGCUGAAGGAAGACUGUAACCGGCUGCAGCAGGGACAGCGAGCUGCCAUGAUGAACCUCCUUCGGAAUAACAGCUGCCUCUCCAAGAUGAAGAAUGCCAUGGCCUCCACGGCGCAG
This 725-nucleotide long non-coding RNA is filed under the name Rattus norvegicus (Norway rat). Its description in RNAcentral is "long non-coding RNA NONRATT011628". Lineage: Eukaryota; Metazoa; Chordata; Mammalia; Rodentia; Muridae. The record is from RNAcentral.